UACGUAGGGUGCGAGCGUUGUCCGGAAUUACUGGGCGUAAAGAGCUCGUAGGUGGUUUGUCGCGUUGUUCGUGAAAACUCACAGCUUAACUGUGGGCGUGCGGGCGAUACGGGCAGACUAGAGUACUGCAGGGGAGACUGGAAUUCCUGGUGUAGCGGUGGAAUGCGCAGAUAUCAGGAGGAACACCGGUGGCGAAGGCGGGUCUCUGGGCAGUAACUGACGCUGAGGAGCGAAAGUGUGGGGAGCGAACAGG
Molecule: ribosomal RNA, 253 nt
Filed under: uncultured bacterium
Lineage: Bacteria
Description: partial 16S ribosomal RNA
Rfam family: Bacterial small subunit ribosomal RNA
Source: RNAcentral